Molecule: long non-coding RNA, 413 nt
Organism: Microtus ochrogaster (prairie vole)
Lineage: Eukaryota; Metazoa; Chordata; Mammalia; Rodentia; Cricetidae
Exons: 3
Source: RefSeq, a predicted model, not a curated record
GACGCGGCAAGUAUCUGGGAAUUUUCACCAUGACCACACUAAAAGUGCCCUGCCUUCCUCACGUUACAAAUGAGAAAGCUGAAGUUUCAGGGUGGGUGAAAGUACUGUAAAGAGUCCUAGAAACUCAAAUUGUCUAACUGGACCAGGCCGAGGGCGUUGUCAGUUCGGGAAUCAGAGCAGAGGAAGACAGCCGCAGAGAUCAAACCAGGAAAACAGGCCGGAUCUCCAAGGAGGCAAGCGAAAAAUGUCCCUUGUGGAAUUUAACAUAAUACGCUGUCAAAAUUUUUGCCUUGAAGAGCUGACAACGACUAAAGGAACAUUGAAGCCUCAGAGGAAAAGAACAAGGUAGCUGCUGCCUCAGUUGGAGACCCUCAUGUGUGGAGAUGUGGCCAGCAUCUUCUGGAGCAGCACGC